Molecule: ribosomal RNA, 798 nt
Filed under: uncultured Rhodocyclales bacterium
Lineage: Bacteria; Pseudomonadati; Pseudomonadota; Betaproteobacteria; Rhodocyclales
Description: bacterial SSU rRNA
Rfam family: Bacterial small subunit ribosomal RNA
Source: RNAcentral
GCGUUAAUCGGAAUUACUGGGCGUAAAGCGUGCGCAGGCGGUUUCGUAAGACAGAUGUGAAAUCCCCGAGCUUAACCUGGGAACUGCAUUUGUGACUGCGAGACUAGAGUGUGGCAGAGGGGGGUAGAAUUCCACGUGUAGCAGUGAAAUGCGUACAGAUGUGGAGGAAUACCGAUGGCGAAGGCAGCCCCCUGGGCCAACACUGACGCUCAUGCAGGAAAGCGUGGGGAGCAAACAGGAUUAGAUACCCUGGUAGUCCACGCCCUAAACGAUGUCAACUAGUUGUUGGGGAAGGAGACUUCCUUAGUAACGCAGCUAACGCGUGAAGUUGACCGCCUGGGGAGUACGGUCGCAAGAUUAAAACUCAAAGGAAUUGACGGGGACCCGCACAAGCGGUGGAUUAUGUGGAUUAAUUCGAUGCAACGCGAAAAACCUUACCUACCCUUGACAUGCCAGGAACUUUCCAGAGAUGGAUUGGUGCCCGAAAGGGAACCUGGACACAGGUGCUGCAUGGCUGUCGUCAGCUCGUGUCGUGAGAUGUUGGGUUAAGUCCCGCAACGAGCGCAACCUUUGCCAUUAAUUGCCAUCAUUCAGUUGGGCACUUUAAUGGGACUGCCGGUGAUAAACCGGAGGAAGGUGGGGAUGACGUCAAGUCUUCAUGGCCCUUAUGGGUAGGGCUUCACACGUAAUACAAUGGUCGGUACAGAGGGUUGCCAACCCGCGAGGGGGAGCUAAUCCCAGAAAGCCGAUCGUAGUCCGGAUUGUUCUCUGCAACUCGAGAGCAUGAAGUCGGAAUCG